GUGGUCUCUUUCAACAGCACAUAUACUUAAACUGAAGUGACACACGGAAGAUUAGCAUGGCCUCUGAAUGAGAAUGACAGCAAACUCGUGAAGCAGUCUACAUUUUU
Rattus norvegicus (Norway rat) is the source of this 107-nucleotide small nuclear RNA. Lineage: Eukaryota; Metazoa; Chordata; Mammalia; Rodentia; Muridae. The record is from Ensembl.